CCUGACCGCACAGCAGCGCUGGCACACGGUCCGUGGAACAGCAAAGCAGCAAAAGUGUUAUUAUGGCCGGAAGACGAGUGUCCCCUCAGGUCUUCACCGGUGGAAAACUCAGGCAAAGCGUGAAAACAGCUGAUGACGUCACCAGAGGGGACGCCGGCUCAGCUUGGCCCCUCCUACAGCCCCAUGGUGAAGCGGCCCCUGUGUGACCUGGAUGCUGGCCACGCGGUCCUGGAAGCUGUAGGACCACAGACUGGGGAUGUCCUCAUCGCAAACCUCCAUCUUGCGACCAUCAAAGUUGGU
This is a long non-coding RNA of Paramormyrops kingsleyae, 300 nucleotides long. RefSeq lists it as uncharacterized. Lineage: Eukaryota; Metazoa; Chordata; Actinopteri; Osteoglossiformes; Mormyridae. The record is from RefSeq and is a predicted model, not a curated record.